UCAAGCUACUAAGGGCAUACGGCGGAUGCCUAGGCGCCAUCAGCCGAUGAAGGACGCGGUAAGCUGCGAAAAGCUACGGGGAACUGCAAGCAAGUAUUGAUCCGUAGAUGUCCGAAUGGGGAAACCCACCUGCCGUCAUGGGCAGGUAUCCGAAAGGAAGGGAACCCGGGGAACUGAAACAUCUAAGUACCCGGAGGAAGAGAAAUCAAACGAGAUGCCCACAGUAGCGGCGAGCGAAGAGGGCAGAGGGCAAACCGGGGAGCUACGGCUCUCCGGGGUUGAGGACUGCAUUUAGUCUUAAUGGUCUAUCCGAACUACCUGGAAAGGUAGGCAACACAGUGUAAAAGCCACGUAGGUUAAAGACCAGAGAGAUGAGCAGUAUCCAGAGUACCACGAGGCACGAGGAAUCUUGUGGGAAGCCGGGGGGACCACCCUCCAACCCUAAACACUGAAUGGCGACCGAUAGCGCAUAGUACCGUGAGGGAAAGGUGAAAAGAACCCCGGGAGGGGAGUGAAAGAGAACCUGAAACCGUAUGUCUACAAGCAGUCGGAGCGAAAGCGACGGCGUGCCUAUUGAAGAAUGAACCAACGAGUUACGUGCACUAGCGAGGUUAAGUGGAAGACACGGAGCCGAAGCGAAAGCGAGUCUUAAGAGGGCGGAUAGUUAGUGUACGUAGACCCGAAACCGCAGUGAUCUACCCAUGUCCAGGUUGAAGCGCAGGUAAAAUUGCGUGGAGGACCGAACCUGUGAGCGUUGAAAAGCUUUAGGAUGAGAUGUGGGUAGAGGUGAAAUUCCAAUCGAACGCGGAGAUAGCUGGUUCUCCCCGAAAUAGCUUUAGGGCUAGCCUCAAGUAGUAAGUAUAGGCGGUAGAGCACUGAUCGGGCUAGGGGCCAUAAAGGUUACCGAACCCUGUCAAACUCCGAAUGGUUAUACUGUAGAGCUUGGGAGUCAGACUACGAGUGAUAAGAUCCGUGGUCAAAAGGGAAACAGCCCAGACCACCAGCUAAGGUCCCCAAUGUCGUACUAAGUGGAAAAGGAUGUGGGGUCUCUAAAACAACCAGGAUGUUGGCUUAGAAGCAGCCACCAUUUAAAGAGUGCGUAAUAGCUCACUGGUCGAGAGACCCUGCGCCGAAGAUUACCGGGGCUAAAGUACGAAACCGAAGCUGUGGCUACGACGUAAGUCGUGGGGUAGGGGAGCGUUCUGUGAGGGCUGAAGUCGUUCUGUAAGGAACGGUGGACUUCACAGAAGUGAGAAUGUUGGUAUGAGUAGCGAAAAGAAUGGUGAGAAUCCAUUCCACCGAAAGCAUAAGGAUUCCUGGGCAACGAUCGUCGUCCCAGGGUAAGUCGGGACCUAAUCCGAGGCAUGGAGCGUAGGAGAUGGACAACUGGCAGAUAUUCCAGUACCGGUAAUGAUUGUUUGAGCGAUGGAGUGACACAGGAGGGCAGGCAGGCAGGAGAUUGGUUGUUCCUGUACAAGCGUGUAGGAUGGGACGUAGGCAAAUCCGCGUCCUGUGAGUCUGAGGCGUGAUGUGGAGGUUCCGGAAACGGAACUGAAGCUGCUGACCCCACACUGUCGAGAAAAGCUUCUAGUUAGAGAAUUACCGCCCGUACCGUAAACCGACACAGGUAUGCGGGGAGAGAAUCCUAAGGUGCGCGGGAGAACCCUCGUUAAGGAACUCGGCAAAAUGUACCCGUAACUUCGGGAUAAGGGUAGCCGCUGUUGUGAAGUCUGAACAGACGGAGCAUGAGGCGGUCGCAGAGAAGAGGCCCAAGCGACUGUUUACCACAAACACAGGUGCCUGCUAAAGAGAAAUCUGACGUAUAGGUGCUGACACCUGCCCAGUGCCGGAAGGUUAAGGAAGGAUGUCCGGAGCAAUCCAAAGCAUUCGACCGAAGCCCCGGUGAACGGCGGCCGUAACUAUAACGGUCCUAAGGUAGCGAAAUUCCUUGUCGGGU
Molecule: ribosomal RNA, 1957 nt
Filed under: human gut metagenome
Description: bacterial LSU rRNA
Rfam family: Bacterial large subunit ribosomal RNA
Source: RNAcentral